AACGAACGCUGGCGGCAGGCCUAACACAUGCAAGUCGAACGCUGCAGCAAUGCAGAGUGGCAGACGGGUGAGUAACGCGUGGGAACCUUCCCAGUGGUACGGAAUAGCCCAGGGAAACUUGGGGUAAUACCGUAUAAGCCCCUAGGGGGAAAGAUUUAUCGCCAUUGGAUGGGCCCGCGUCGGAUUAGCUAGUUGGUGAGGUAACGGCUCACCAAGGCAACGAUCCGUAGCUGGUUUGAGAGAAUGACCAGCCACACUGGGACUGAGACACGGCCCAGACUCCUACGGGAGGCAGCAGUGGGAAUAUUGCGCAAUGGGCGUAAGCCUGACGCAGCGACGCCGCGUGGGGGAUGAAGGCC
RNAcentral lists this ribosomal RNA (359 nucleotides) under uncultured bacterium. Its description in RNAcentral is "bacterial SSU rRNA". It matches the Rfam family "Bacterial small subunit ribosomal RNA", at positions 29 to 416 of the family's 1533-position model. The record is from RNAcentral.